RNAcentral lists this ribosomal RNA (472 nucleotides) under uncultured bacterium. Its description in RNAcentral is "bacterial SSU rRNA". It matches the Rfam family "Bacterial small subunit ribosomal RNA", at positions 40 to 507 of the family's 1533-position model. The record is from RNAcentral.
CGGCAUGCCUUACACAUGCAAGUCGAACGGCAGGCACGGGGCGAACCUGGUGGCGAGUAGGCGAACGGGUGAGUAAUGCAUCGGAACGUGCCAUUGAUGGGGGAUAACGUAGCGAAAGUUGCGCUAAUACCGCAUAUUCUGUGAGCAGGAAAGCAGGGGACCGCAAGGCCUUGCGCUCUUUGAGCGGCCGAUGUCAGAUUAGCUAGUUGGUGAGGUAACGGCUUACCAAGGCGACGAUCUGUAGCGGGUCUGAGAGGAUGAUCCGCCACACUGGAACUGAGACACGGUCCAGACUCCUACGGGAGGCAGCAGUGAGGAAUUUUGGACAAUGGGGGCAACCCUGAUCCAGCCAUGCCGCGUGAGUGAAGAAGGCCUUCGGGUUGUAAAGCUCUUUCGGCCGGGAAGAAAUCGCAUGGGUUAAUACCCUGUGUGGAUGACGGUACCGGCAUAAGAAGCACCGGCUAACUACGUG